RNAcentral lists this transfer RNA (73 nucleotides) under Ailuropoda melanoleuca (giant panda). It matches the Rfam family "tRNA". Rfam says of the family: Transfer RNA (tRNA) molecules are approximately 80 nucleotides in length. The record is from Rfam by way of RNAcentral. Lineage: Eukaryota; Metazoa; Chordata; Mammalia; Carnivora; Ursidae.
ACCUGGCUGGCUCACUUGGUAGAGCAUGCCACUCUCGAUCUCGGGGUCGUGAGUUCGAGCCCCACGCUGGGUG